Molecule: ribosomal RNA, 460 nt
Filed under: uncultured bacterium
Lineage: Bacteria
Description: partial 16S ribosomal RNA
Rfam family: Bacterial small subunit ribosomal RNA
Source: RNAcentral
CCUACGGGAGGCAGCAGUGAGGAAUAUUGGUCAAUGGACGCAAGUCUGAACCAGCCAUGCCGCGUGCAGGAAGACGGCCCUAUGAGUUGUAAACUGCUUUUGUACGAGGGUAAACGCAGAUACGCGUAUCUGUCUGAAAGUAUCGUACGAAUAAGGAUCGGCUAACUCCGUGCCAGCAGCCGCGGUAAUACGGAGGAUUCAAGCGUUAUCCGGAUUUAUUGGGUUUAAAGGGUGCGUAGGCGGGCGGAUAAGAUAGAGGUGAAAUCCUGGGGCUCAACUUCGGAAUUGCCUCUGAUACUGUUCGGCUUGAGAGUAGUUGCGGUAGGCGGAAUGUAUGGUGUAGCGGUGAAAUGCUUAGAGAUCAUACAGAACACCGAUUGCGAAGGCAGCUUACCAAGCUACUUCUGACGUUGAGGCACGAAAGCGUGGGGAGCAAACAGGAUUAGAUACCCUGGUAGUC